AUAACGCCUUGCUACGCCACACCCACACGGGUACUCAGCAGUGAUUAACAUUAAAACAUGAGCGAAAGCUCGACUUAGUUAUGAUAAAAAUGGUUGGUAAAUUUCGUGCCAGCCACCGCGGUUACACGAAAAACCAAAAAUAAUAGCCCCCGGCGUAAAAAGUGACCCGAGCUCCGCCAACAAAUUAAAGAAAAACUACCACAAAGUUGUAAAACACUUGUUCGUAGGACCCCCAACAACAAAAUGACUUUAAACCAAAGGCCCCUUACCCCCACGAAAGCUAAGAAACAAACUAGGAUUAGAUACCCUACUAUGCUUAGCCGUAAACAUAGACAGUAAUAAACACAAUACUGUCCGCCAGAGAACUACAAGUGAAAAACUAGAAACUCCAAGGACUUGGCGGUGCCCCAUAUCAACCUAGAGGAGCCUGUCCUAUAAUCGAUAAUCCACGCUGCACCUUACCAUUUCUAGCAAUUCAGCCUAUAUACCGCCGUCGAAAGCUUACCCUAUGAAAGAAAUGAAGUAAGCAAAAUAGUUAAUAACUAAAACGUCAGGUCAAGGUGUAGCACAUGAAAUGGCAGAGAUGGGCUACAUUUUCUACCCUAGAAAACACGAACAGCACAAUGAAACCUGUCCUCAAAGGCGGAUUUAGCAGUAAGGCAAAAAAGAAACUUUUCCUAAAACCCGCUCUGGGGCGCG
Molecule: ribosomal RNA, 699 nt
Filed under: Marisora urtica
Lineage: Eukaryota; Metazoa; Chordata; Lepidosauria; Squamata; Scincidae
Description: Marisora sp. JRM-2020d partial 12S ribosomal RNA
Rfam family: Bacterial small subunit ribosomal RNA
Source: RNAcentral